CUCAGAUUAGCCAUGCAUGUCUAAGUACAUGCCGUAUUAAGGCGAAACCGCGAAUGGCUCAUUAAAUCAGUUAUGGUUCCUUGGAUCGUACCUUACUACUUGGAUAACUGUGGCAAUUCUAGAGCUAAUACAUGCAGCAGAGCUCCGACCUUCGGGGACGAGCGCUUUUAUUAGACCAAAACCAAUCGGACCUCGUGUCCGUACGAUGUGGUGACUCUGUAUAACUUUGGGCUGAUCGCACGGGCCCGUCCCGGCGACGUAUCUUUCAAGUGUCUGCCUUAUCAACUGUCGAUGGUAGGUUACUCGCCUACCAUGGUCGUAACGGGUGACGGGGAAUCAGGGUUCGAUUCCGGAGAGGGAGCCUGAGAAACGGCUACCACAUCCAGGAGGCAGCAGGCGCGCAAAUUACCCACUCCCAGGAACGGGGAGGUAGUGACGAAAAAUAACAAUACGGGACUCUUUUGAGACCCCGUAAUUGGAAUGAGUACACUCUAAAUCCUUUAACGAGGAUCCAUUGGAGGGCAAGUCUGGUGCCAGCAGCUGCGGUAAUUCCAGCUCCAAUAGCGUAUAUUAAAGUUGUUGCGGUUAAAAAGCUCGUAGUUGGAUCUCAGUUCCAGACGGGUGGUCCGCCUACCGGUGGUUACUGCCCGUUCUGAACAGCCAGCCGGUUUCCCUUGAUGAUCUUCACCGGUUGUCUUGGGUGACCGGCAAGUUUACUUUGAAAAAAUUAGAGUGCUCAAAGCAGGCGUGACGCCUGAAUAAUGGUGCAUGGAAUAAUGGAAUAGGACCUCGGUUCUAUUUUGUUGGUUUUCGGAACACGAGGUAAUGAUUAAGAGGGACAGACGGGGGCAUUCGUAUUGCGACGCUAGAGGUGAAAUUCUUGGACCGUCGCAAGACGAACUACUGCGAAAGCAUUUGCCAAGAAUGUUUCCAUUAAUCAAGAACGAAAGUUAGAGGUUCGAAGGCGAUCAGAUACCGCCCUAGUUCUAACCAUAAACGAUGCCAGCCAGCGAUCCGGCUGUGUUCCUCAAAU
This 1033-nucleotide ribosomal RNA is filed under the name Asianopis zhuanghaoyuni. RNAcentral's name for it is "SSU rRNA". It matches the Rfam family "Eukaryotic small subunit ribosomal RNA", at positions 38 to 1072 of the family's 1831-position model. Lineage: Eukaryota; Metazoa; Arthropoda; Arachnida; Araneae; Deinopidae. The record is from RNAcentral.